UACGGAGGGUGCGAGCGUUGUCCGGAUUUAUUGGGUUUAAAGGGUGCGUAGGCGGCUUUUUAAGUCUGGGGUGAAAGCCCGCUGCUCAACAGCGGAACUGCCCUGGAUACUGGAGAGCUUGAGUACAGACGAGGUUGGCGGAAUGGACUGAGUAGCGGUGAAAUGCAUAGAUACAGUCCAGAACCCCGAUUGCGAAGGCAGCUGACUAGGCUGUUACUGACGCUGAGGCACGAAAGCGUGGGGAGCGAACAGG
This 253-nucleotide ribosomal RNA is filed under the name uncultured bacterium. RNAcentral's name for it is "partial 16S ribosomal RNA". It matches the Rfam family "Bacterial small subunit ribosomal RNA", at positions 524 to 776 of the family's 1533-position model. The record is from RNAcentral.